Molecule: ribosomal RNA, 497 nt
Filed under: uncultured bacterium
Lineage: Bacteria
Description: partial 16S ribosomal RNA
Rfam family: Bacterial small subunit ribosomal RNA
Source: RNAcentral
GAUGAACGCUGGCGGCGUGCCUAAUACAUGCAAGUCGAGCGAACAGACGAGGAGCUUGCUCCUCUGACGUUAGCGGCGGACGGGUGAGUAACACGUGGAUAACCUACCUAUAAGACUGGGAUAACUUCGGGAAACCGUAGCUAAUGCCGGAUAAUAUAUUGAACCGCAAUGUUCAAUAGUUAAAUACGGUAUUUGUUUGACUAAUAGAUGACUCCGCGCCCCAUUAGUUAGUUGUUAAGGUAACGGCUUACCAAGGCAAGGAUGCGAAACCGACCUGAGAGGGUGAUCGGACACACUGGAACUGAGACAGGGCCGACACUCCUAGGCGGAGACGCGGUAGGGACUCUUACGCAAUGGGCGAGAGCGUGACAGAGCACAGCGGCGUGAGUGAUGAAGGUGUUCGGAUCGUAAAGCUAUGUUGUCAGGAAAGUACAAAUGUGUAAGUAACUAUGAACGUAUUGACGGUACCUAAACAGAAAGCCCCGGCUAACUACGUG